UUGACAAUUUCUAAGACCCUCCCUCUGCGAGAGAUCCCACGCGCCCGAGCGCCUCCUUGCGCCCUCGUCCACAAAGCGCAGCUUCCCCCUCCCUCCCAGGCGCCCCUCUCCCGCAUCCUUGACGCGAGAGCCUCGCAGGAGCUUGAGGCCCGAUCUGCAGCAGCAGCAGCAGGAACCCCCGCCCGGUGAGCUUCGCGCUUCUCUUCCCUGGUCUCCCAUCUCUCCUCACCCUCUCUUUUCUCUCUCGAACAGGAAGAGACCCACCACAACAAUGGCGCCGCCCCAUGGAGCUCCGAUCUGCAGCGGGACCCCGCCGGAAGCGUCAGCUCUCGCACACCAAUGGCGCACGCCCGAGACAUUGGUGAACACGGAGCUUGUUUCUCCUGCGAACUCGGCGACCCUCUCCUCCAGCCUCCUCUCGCGCCCUACGGGAUCUCCCGAGCCAGCCCCAUCCGCCUCCGGCCGCCGCCGGCAAGCAGAGCUAUCGUCCGCGCGCUCCGGCCAGCUCAGACCGCGGCCUCCUCAGAUUGGCCACAUCAGCCGCCCCUGUAAACUUCCCCGUCGGUCUUCACCUCCUGCACGAGCCCCCGUCGUCCGUGCGCUCCGGCCAGCUUCCCGUCGCGCCCGAGACGAGAAGCAGUAAUCGCUUUAGUAUUAAAAAAAAACCGUCGGGCCCGAGACCAGAAGCAGUAAUCGCUUUAGUAUUAUAUAUAAAAAAAAUAGGGAAAGAUAGUCACAUGGACAGGGACCGCGGGUUAAUUUCAUAUAAACCGAGGGACUUGUAUGUAAAAUCGCCCGAGACGACGUACGACAGAAAUCCAAUUCUUUUUAUUAUUAGGUAAAGAAAUAGACAACUACAAUGUAUCGAACGACGUACCAUCUCUUUCCUACUCCACAAGAAAAGCCCUUCUCCUCCA
Long non-coding RNA from Triticum dicoccoides, 917 nucleotides. RefSeq lists it as uncharacterized. The transcript has 2 exons. Lineage: Eukaryota; Viridiplantae; Streptophyta; Magnoliopsida; Poales; Poaceae. The record is from RefSeq and is a predicted model, not a curated record.